This 17-nucleotide ribosomal RNA is filed under the name Blackwellomyces cardinalis. RNAcentral describes it as "partial 28S ribosomal RNA". Lineage: Eukaryota; Fungi; Ascomycota; Sordariomycetes; Hypocreales; Cordycipitaceae. The record is from RNAcentral.
AACUUUCUGAACGUUGA